CGAACGCUGGCGGCAGGCUUAACACAUGCAAGUCGAGCGGGCAUCCUUGUGGUGUCAGCGGCAGACGGGUGAGUAACGCGUGGGAACGUGCCCUUCGGUUCGGAAUAACUCAGGGAAACUUGAGCUAAUACCGGAUACGUGCGAGAGCAGAAAGGUUUAUCUGCCGAAGGAUCGGCCCGCGUCUGAUUAGCUAGUUGGUGAGGUUAUGGCUCACCAAGGCGACGAUCAGUAGCUGGUCUGAGAGGAUGAUCAGCCACACUGGGACUGAGACACGGCCCAGACUCCUACGGGAGGCAGCAGUGGGGAAUAUUGGACAAUGGGGGCAACCCUGAUCCAGCCAUGCCGCGUGAGUGAUGACGGCCUUAGGGUUGUAAAGCUCUUUUCUCCGGGACGAUAAUGACGGUACCGGAGGAAUAAGCCCCGGCUAACUUCGUG
This 435-nucleotide ribosomal RNA is filed under the name uncultured bacterium. Its description in RNAcentral is "partial 16S ribosomal RNA". It matches the Rfam family "Bacterial small subunit ribosomal RNA", at positions 30 to 507 of the family's 1533-position model. The record is from RNAcentral.